Molecule: ribosomal RNA, 539 nt
Filed under: uncultured bacterium
Lineage: Bacteria
Description: bacterial SSU rRNA
Rfam family: Bacterial small subunit ribosomal RNA
Source: RNAcentral
GAGGAAUAUUGGUCAAUGGGCGCGAGCCUGAACCAGCCAAGUGGCGUGCAGGAUGACGGCCCUAUGGGUUGUAAACUGCUUUUGUAUGGGGAUAAAGUCAAUCACGUGUGAUUGUUUGCAGGUACCAUACGAAUAAGGACCGGCUAAUUCCGUGCCAGCAGCCGCGAUAAUACGGAAGGUCCGGGCGUUAUCCGGAUUUAUUGGGUUUAAAGGGAGCGUAGGCCGGAGAUUAAGUGUGUUGUGAAAUGUAGACGCUCAACGUCUGACUUGCAGCGCAUACUGGUUUCCUUGAGUACGCACAACGUUGGCGGAAUUCGUCGUGUAGCGGUGAAAUGCUUAGAUAUGACGAAGAACUCCGAUUGCGAAGGCAGCUGACGGGAGCGCAACUGACGCUUAAGCUCGAGGGUGCGGGUAUCAAACAGGAUUAGAUACCCUGGUAGUCCGCACAGUAAACGAUGGAUGCCCGCUGUUGGUACCUGGUAUCAGCGGCUAAGCGAAAGCAUUAAGCAUCCCACCUGGGGAGUACGCCGGCAACGGUG